RNAcentral lists this ribosomal RNA (171 nucleotides) under Triticum aestivum (bread wheat). RNAcentral describes it as "partial small subunit ribosomal RNA". Lineage: Eukaryota; Viridiplantae; Streptophyta; Magnoliopsida; Poales; Poaceae. The record is from RNAcentral.
AUGUUUAAGAGCGGGAUCUGCCCAAGAACCACCUGUGGUGGCACGAACUCUGCAAGCGUCCCGCGCCCUCUGAGAAAGAAACUCCUCAACCAUCACAAGAUAAAGAAGUAUGACGCUCUGUGUCUGACUCUAUUGGUCAUAGAAGAUCAACCGUCCUCCGCCUCCAUCUAA